GUGGGGAAUAUUGGACAAUGGGGGGAACCCUGAUCCAGCCAUGCCGCGUGUGUGAAGAAGGCCUUUUGGUUGUAAAGCACUUUAAGCGAGGAGGAGGCUACCGAGAUUAAUACUCUUGGAUAGUGGACGUUACUCGCAGAAUAAGCACCGGCUAACUCUGUGUCAGCAGCCGCGGUAAUACAGAGGGUGCAAGCGUUAAUCGGAUUUACUGGGCGUAAAGCGCGCGUAGGUGGCCAAUUAAGUCAAAUGUGAAAUCCCCGAGCUUAACUUGGGAAUUGCAUUCGAUACUGGUUGGCUAGAGUAUGGGAGAGGAUGGUAGAAUUCCAGGUGUAGCGGUGAAAUGCGUAGAGAUCUGGAGGAAUACCGAUGGCGAAGGCAGCCAUCUGGCCUAAUACUGACACUGAGGUGCGAAAGCAUGGGGAGCAAACAGGAUUAGAUACCCGAGUAGUCC
RNAcentral lists this ribosomal RNA (451 nucleotides) under uncultured bacterium. RNAcentral describes it as "bacterial SSU rRNA". It matches the Rfam family "Bacterial small subunit ribosomal RNA", at positions 354 to 796 of the family's 1533-position model. The record is from RNAcentral.